This 56-nucleotide transfer RNA is filed under the name Cyclosa argenteoalba. Its description in RNAcentral is "tRNA-Ser". Lineage: Eukaryota; Metazoa; Arthropoda; Arachnida; Araneae; Araneidae. The record is from RNAcentral.
GGCCUUAUAAAUAAGGUGUUUUGAAAACAUCUUUUAAGAUAAAAUCUUUGGGGUCA